Molecule: transfer RNA, 85 nt
Organism: Felis catus (domestic cat)
Lineage: Eukaryota; Metazoa; Chordata; Mammalia; Carnivora; Felidae
Rfam family: tRNA
About the family: Transfer RNA (tRNA) molecules are approximately 80 nucleotides in length. Their secondary structure includes four short double-helical elements and three loops (D, anti-codon, and T loops). Further hydrogen bonds mediate the characteristic L-shaped molecular structure. tRNAs have two regions of fundamental functional importance: the anti-codon, which is responsible for specific mRNA codon recognition, and the 3' end, to which the tRNAs corresponding amino acid is attached (by aminoacyl-tRNA synthetases). tRNAs cope with the degeneracy of the genetic code in two manners: having more than one tRNA (with a specific anti-codon) for a particular amino acid; and 'wobble' base-pairing, i.e. permitting non-standard base-pairing at the 3rd anti-codon position.
Source: Rfam
GCCUGGGUGGCUCAGUCGGUUGAGCGUCUGACUUCGGCUCAGGUCAUGAUCUCACGGUUUGUGGGUUUUAGCCCCACAUCAGGCU